AACGAACGCUGGCGGCAUGCCUAACACAUGCCAGUCGAACGAGACCUUCGGGGCUAGUGGCGAACGGGUGCGUAACGCGUUGGAACCUGCCCUUAGGGUCGGAAUAACUCCCCGAAAGGGGUGCUAAUACCGGAUAAUGUCUUCGGACCAAAGAUUUAUCGCCUUUGGAUGGGCCCGCGUUGGAUUAGCUAGUUGGUAGGGUAAAAGCCUACCAAGGCGACGAUCCAUAGCUGGUCUGAGAGGAUGAUCAGCCACACUGGGACUGAGACACGGCCCAGACUCAUACGGGAGGCAGCAGUGGGGAAUAUUGGACAAUGGGCGAAAGCCUGAUCCAGCAAUGCCGCGUGAGUGAUGAAGGCCUUAGGGUUGUAAAGCUCUUUUACCCGGGAUGAUAAUGACAGUACCGGGAGAAUAAGCUCCGGCUAACUCCGUG
RNAcentral lists this ribosomal RNA (433 nucleotides) under uncultured bacterium. Its description in RNAcentral is "partial 16S ribosomal RNA". It matches the Rfam family "Bacterial small subunit ribosomal RNA", at positions 29 to 507 of the family's 1533-position model. The record is from RNAcentral.